GAGAACAUGCGAUCAAUUAGCAAAACUUGGAAUUAGUAUCGCAACCGCGCAAAUGAUACAAGACGGAGGGAUUUUAAUUGUCACCUCACAACUUUCCUACACUUAAUAUCAAUUCCUACUCUAUCUUCUACAUACACGCAAAGCCCAAAAUCAGCAAUAGAAAGUAUGCAAGUACAAACAUCAACUCAUUUUCUUCAACUCUGCAGCCCCUUUUCAACUCAAAGCCAUGCUGCUAAGGGUCAUUCAUCUAUAACCUACGCAUGCUUCAUCUUGUCAAACACUCAAGUGUCAGCACCAACUCCACUCUUUAUACUAUUAGCCAACAACCCUUUCUUCUAUAAUUUCAGUCAACAAAUUCUCCUUCAUAUCUUCCUUCGUGUACCAACUCUCAAAGGGAAAGAAUUUUGAUUCAGCUUCUGGCAGACUCAGGAAGGUAAGAAUGGCCAACUCUUUCACCAUUUCUCCUUGAGUUUAGUCUGCAAUUGUUAAACAAAAUAUGCAAUUCAUUUCAGCUCUUUCUUAUUGAACAACAUAGCAGCAUAGACAGCCAAAAGAACAAACAUUCAAGGUAUUUUUACAUCAGUAUGCUUUCUUCUUUGUUACACGCCUCAUUUCCCAUCAAGCAUAUGAUCAGUUUAUUUGAAAAGCAUAGUAGGAGACGAAUGGUAUAAUCUUUUAUCCAUAUAGAAUCAACAACCCAUGACUUUCACACAAGGCAAAUACAAUGAGAAUUUCUUACGACACAUAGCAAAAUCAUGCCUAGUGUAAUCUCCAGCAUAAGCAUAAUCGGAGUAUGGAAAACCAAGAUUUCAUAAGAUAGAAUGAACUUAGAAAAUGCUAGUAACCUGUUGAGUUGUAUCCUUGGUGGCCUAUUUGCCGUUCAAUCUGGGGGUUGGGGCAGAGCGCCAUGGCUGCGCCUAAGGGCGACACCAAGCAGACGAGUUCUGUUCCGAUGGGCAGAGUGCAUCGACGGAAGCAUCCGCUAGCUGGAACUCAAGGGCGAAGGCAGCAAGACACCUAAGGUCGGGAGACCCGAUGCUGACGGCGACUCUCGCCGAUUCACAUGUCCAACGGCGAUCCAUCGCGCCGGAGAA
Molecule: long non-coding RNA, 1094 nt
Filed under: Salvia miltiorrhiza (redroot sage)
Lineage: Eukaryota; Viridiplantae; Streptophyta; Magnoliopsida; Lamiales; Lamiaceae
Description: long non-coding RNA (SMIL_LNC003806)
Source: RNAcentral